RNAcentral lists this ribosomal RNA (892 nucleotides) under uncultured organism. RNAcentral describes it as "bacterial SSU rRNA". It matches the Rfam family "Bacterial small subunit ribosomal RNA", at positions 18 to 970 of the family's 1533-position model. The record is from RNAcentral.
CCUGGCUCAGAACGAACGCUGGCGGCAGGCCUAACACAUGCAAGUCGAGCGCGCCUUCGGGUGAGCGGCGGACGGGUGAGUAACGCGUGGGAACGUGCCCUUCGGUUGAGGAUAGCCCCUGGAAACGGGGAGUAAUACUCGAUACGCCCUAUUGGGGAACGAAGGAUCGGCCCGCGUCUGAUUAGGUAGUUGGUGGGGUAACGGCCUACCAAGCCUACGAUCAGUAGCUGGUUUUAGAGGAUGAUCAGCCACACUGGGACUGAGACACGGCCCAGACUCCUACGGGAGGCAGCAGUGGGGAAUCUUAGACAAUGGGGGAAACCCUGAUCUAGCCAUGCCGCGUGUGUGAUGAAGGCCCUAGGGUCGUAAAGCACUUUCGCCAGGGAUGAUAAUGACAGUACCUGGUAAAGAAACCCCGGCUAACUCCGUGCCAGCAGCCGCGGUAAUACGGAGGGGGUUAGCGUUGUUCGGAAUUACUGGGCGUAAAGCGCACGUAGGCGGAUCGGAAAGUUGGGGGUGAAAUCCCGGGGCUCAACCCCGGAACUGCCUCCAAAACUCCCGGUCUUGAGUUCGAGAGAGGUGAGUGGAAUUCCGAGUGUAGAGGUGAAAUUCGUAGAUAUUCGGAGGAACACCAGUGGCGAAGGCGGCUCACUGGCUCGAUACUGACGCUGAGGUGCGAAAGUGUGGGUAGCAAACAGGAUUAGAUACCCUGGUAGUCCACACCGUAAACGAUGAAUGCCAGACGUCGGGCAGCAUGCUGUUCGGUGUCACACCUAACGGAUUAAGCAUUCCGCCUGGGGAGUACGGUCGCAAGAUUAAAACUCACAGGACUUGACGGUGGCCCGCACAAGCGGUGGAGCAUGUGGUUUACUUCGAAGCAACGCGCAGAACC